AACGAACGCUGGCGGCGCGUUUUAAGCAUGCAAGUCGGGCGGGAAGGGACUUCGGUCCUGGAGAGCGGCGGACGGGUGAGUAACACGUGGAUAAUCUGCCUUUCAGUCGGGGAUAGCAUCUGGAAACAGGUGAUAAUACCGGAUACGAGCGUGGCAUCGAUGAUGCUGCGGGGAAAGGGGCUACGGCCCCGCUGGAAGAUGAGUCCGCGGCCCAUUAGCUAGAUGGCGGGGUAAAGG
Molecule: ribosomal RNA, 237 nt
Filed under: uncultured bacterium
Lineage: Bacteria
Description: partial 16S ribosomal RNA
Rfam family: Bacterial small subunit ribosomal RNA
Source: RNAcentral